AUGUGCCACUCGUAGACUCCGGUUCUGAGCGCGCCGUCCGCACCCACCUGACGACUGCUCGCUACGUUUUGUUAGCC
This 77-nucleotide small RNA is filed under the name Xanthomonas populi. RNAcentral's name for it is "sX9 sRNA". It matches the Rfam family "Xanthomonas sRNA sX9". The record is from RNAcentral. Lineage: Bacteria; Pseudomonadati; Pseudomonadota; Gammaproteobacteria; Lysobacterales; Lysobacteraceae.